CCUACGGGUGGCAGCAGUGAGGAAUAUUGGUCAAUGGUCGGGAGACUGAACCAGCCAAGCCGCGUGAGGGAUGAAGGUACAGAGUAUCGUAAACCUCUUUUGUCAGGGAACAAAGGCGGGGACGUGUCCACGGAUGAGUGUACCUGAAGACAAAGCAUCGGCUAACUCCGUGCCAGCAGCCGCGGUAAUAGGGAGGAUGCGAGCGUUAUCCGGAUUUAUUGGGGUUAAGGGGUGCGCAGGCGGUCUGGUAAGUCAGCGGUAAAAGCCCGGGGCACAACCCCGGCCCGCCGUUGAAACUGGCAGUCUCGAGUUGGAGAGAAGUAUGCGGAAUGCGCGGUGUAGCGGUGAAAUGCAUAGAUAUCGCGCAGAACUCCGAUUGCGAAGGCAGCAUGCCGGCUCCACACUGACGCUGAGGCACGAAAGCGUGGGUAUCGAACAGGAUUAGAUACCCCUGUAGUC
Molecule: ribosomal RNA, 459 nt
Filed under: uncultured bacterium
Lineage: Bacteria
Description: partial 16S ribosomal RNA
Rfam family: Bacterial small subunit ribosomal RNA
Source: RNAcentral